Molecule: ribosomal RNA, 612 nt
Filed under: uncultured bacterium
Lineage: Bacteria
Description: bacterial SSU rRNA
Rfam family: Bacterial small subunit ribosomal RNA
Source: RNAcentral
GAUGAACGCUAGCGGGAGGCUUAACACAUGCAAGUCGAGGGGUAACAGAGGUAGCAAUACCUGCUGACGACCGGCGUACGGGUGAGUAACACGUAUGCAACCUACCCUGUACUGGGGGAUAGCCCGGGGAAAUUCGGAUUAAUACCCCAUAAUAAUAUUGAGAGGCAUCUUUUAAUAUUUAAAGUUACGACGGUACAGGAUGGGCAUGCGCAACAUUAGCUAGUUGGUAGGGUAACGGCCUACCAAGGCAUCGAUGUUUAGGGGACCUGAGAGGGUGAUCCCCCACACUGGUACUGAGACACGGACCAGACUCCUACGGGAGGCAGCAGUGAGGAAUAUUGGUCAAUGGGCGCAAGCCUGAACCAGCCAUCCCGCGUGCAGGAAGACGGCGCUAUGCGUUGUAAACUGCUUUUCCAGAGGAAGAAAACCUGCUACGUGUAGUGGCUUGCCGGUACUCUGGGAAUAAGCAUCGGCUAACUCCGUGCCAGCAGCCGCGGUAAUACGGAGGAUGCAAGCGUUAUCCGGAUUUAUUGGGUUUAAAGGGUGCGUAGGCGGAUUAAUAAGUCAGUGGUGAAAACCUUCAGCUUAACUGGAGACUUGCCAUUGAUACUG